GUCGGUCGCUAAAAUGAAAUGUCGUAACGACUCUCGGCAACGGAUAUCUCGGCUCUCGCAUCGAUGAAGAACGUAGCGAAAUGCGAUACUUGGUGUGAAUUGCAGAAUCCCGUGAACCAUCGAGUCUUUGAACGCAAGUUGCGCCCGAAGCCGUUAGGCCGA
RNAcentral lists this ribosomal RNA (162 nucleotides) under Boehmeria nivea var. nipononivea. RNAcentral describes it as "5.8S ribosomal RNA". The stretch from base 29 to 162 matches the Rfam family "5.8S ribosomal RNA", at positions 1 to 132 of the family's 154-position model. From Rfam's summary of the family: 5.8S ribosomal RNA (5.8S rRNA) is a component of the large subunit of the eukaryotic ribosome. It is transcribed by RNA polymerase I as part of the 45S precursor that also contains 18S and 28S rRNA. Functionally, it is thought that 5.8S rRNA may be involved in ribosome translocation. The record is from RNAcentral. Lineage: Eukaryota; Viridiplantae; Streptophyta; Magnoliopsida; Rosales; Urticaceae. RNAcentral also lists the same sequence under 4 other names.